Molecule: small nucleolar RNA, 72 nt
Filed under: Marmota monax (woodchuck)
Lineage: Eukaryota; Metazoa; Chordata; Mammalia; Rodentia; Sciuridae
Description: Small nucleolar RNA SNORD113/SNORD114 family
Rfam family: Small nucleolar RNA SNORD113/SNORD114 family
About the family: The imprinted human domain at 14q32 contains two clusters of tandemly repeated small nucleolar RNAs named 14q(I) and 14q(II) snoRNAs.
Source: Rfam by way of RNAcentral
UGGAUCAAUGAUGACCACUGGUGGCAUAUGAGUCACGGAUGAUGACUGCGGGUCUGGAUAUCUGAGGUCCAA